UGCCAAUCUGUUUUUAUUUAUUAAAUAAAUAUUUGUUAGAUAUAUAAUGUUAUAAUGCUGGUAUGGUAUGUCUUGUCUUAAGAUACUUUAAUGUGCAGUAGUAGAAUAAUAAUGAUCAAAUGAUAAUUUUGAAUUAUCUGCCCCCUACCAAAAAGGGACUAAUUAUAAAAGGUAAAAAUGGCAUUAAAAAAAUAUUAUUUGAGCCUCUAUAAUGAUACAAUCCUAUUUGCAGAAGGGAAAAAUAUCAUGUAUUUUCAACGUUACCUAUUCGGCUCUUCCUGCUAAUUAAUUAUUUUCUACUAACCGACUUGUUUUGAUCCAAUCAAUCGUAGCCGUCCAUCUGCCGCCAACUCCAGCUAUAUAAACUUCGGUUUUGUGUAAUCGACUGGAUUACUUCCUCCGUGUGGUGCGAUUUCUUUUUACUUUCCCCAAUCUAGUAUGGCGGCGAGGAUAGAUGGGUUUACGAUCAAUGUCAAAUAUUUGGGUUCAGUUUUAAAGAGAAGGCAGUUAUGGGCUUAUACAGUGGCAGAGGGAGUAUAGUAUGGCGAUAUUAAGAACAAGCUAUGGGUUUAUCUAAGUUGGCUCUUACGGUGUGGCUGUCUGGUCAUGUUGUUGCCUGUUGGACAUUGAUGUAGUGUUUAUGGAGGGUUGCAUAGGGAGUAUAGUAUUUUUUGUUCACCACUUAUCUUCCACCUAGAUUUUCAUCUUAUUAUUAUCCUCUUCAAUUUGCAGAGAUCUUUUGUGGUCCCUGAUUAGUUUGCAUCAGAAGGCAGUUCUGGUUUGGUGGCUAGGUUCCCUUUGCUCUGAUUUUUCAACUUCUCUAUGUUAUUUAAAUAUGGAAAUUGUUUUUCUCUCACCGUGUGACAGGAUUACGAAUAAUUAAUGGUUCUAUCCAAGUUGGACCUUAUGGUGUGCCUAUGACAAAACAUGAACUCUUAGAUACCGGCAUUGAUUUAGUGUUUAUUGUAGGUAGAGAGGGAGUAUAGUGAUUUUUCUGCACCAUUUAUCUUCCACUUAGAAUUUCCUCUGGCUUAUCUUAUCCUUAUCAAUUUCCAGAGAUCUUUGGGUGGUUCUUGAUAAGUGACCAUCUGAAGGCAGUUCUUGUUUGAUGCUUGGCUCCCUUUGGUCUGUUUCAUCAACUUCUAUUUUUUUUUAUGUAGAUAUGGAUAUUGUUUUUCAACUCACCCUGUGACAGAAGGAAUUCAGAAUAAGUUGCGGUUCUAUCCAAGUUGGUUCUUCUGGUAUGGCUGUCUUUGUCCUUUUGUUUGACAAAGACUACUCUUUGAUACUGGCUUUGAUAUAAUGUUUAUGGCGGGUAGUAGAGGGAGUAUAUCAUUCUUUUACACCAAUUUUCUUCCACGUAGAACUUCCUCUUGCUUAUUGUUAUGCUCUUCAAUUUCCAGAGAUCUUUGGGUGGCUCUCGAUCAGUUUCCAUAAGAGGCAGUUCUGUUUUCAUGCUUGGUGUCCUGUGGUCUGUUUCAUCCACUUUACUUUAUUAUGUAGAUAUGGUUUCUUCUUUCCUCACCCUGUGAUAUGACAGGCUGUCAGUGGUACACAAUAGUUUUUCCAAUUCAUUUAUUCUUCUAUAUAGACUUUCUUGCUGCUUAUUGUAUGAUUUACAAUAUCCAGAUCUUAUCUUUUGAUGGGUCUUAAUUGAUUUUCAUUGGAA
Long non-coding RNA from Salvia splendens (bonfire salvia), 1669 nucleotides. RefSeq lists it as uncharacterized. The transcript is spliced from 4 exons. NCBI's taxonomy places the organism in Eukaryota, Viridiplantae, Streptophyta, Magnoliopsida, Lamiales, Lamiaceae. The record is from RefSeq and is a predicted model, not a curated record.